AGCUUUGUAUAGUGGCAGUAUCAUAGUUAAUGAGGUUUAUCUGAGGCGUAAUUAUUGCUAAUUAAAAUUUCUAUGAACCAAAUUGGCC
RNAcentral lists this small nuclear RNA (88 nucleotides) under Panthera pardus (leopard). RNAcentral describes it as "U4 spliceosomal RNA (ENSPPRG00000019571.1)". It matches the Rfam family "U4 spliceosomal RNA", at positions 1 to 84 of the family's 138-position model. From Rfam's summary of the family: U4 small nuclear RNA (U4 snRNA) is a component of the major U2-dependent spliceosome. The structure of U4 snRNA from yeast and human has been reported. The record is from RNAcentral. Lineage: Eukaryota; Metazoa; Chordata; Mammalia; Carnivora; Felidae.